RNAcentral lists this ribosomal RNA (375 nucleotides) under uncultured bacterium. RNAcentral describes it as "bacterial SSU rRNA". It matches the Rfam family "Bacterial small subunit ribosomal RNA", at positions 524 to 898 of the family's 1533-position model. The record is from RNAcentral.
GACGAACCGAGCAAACGUUAUUCGGAAUCACUGGGCUUAAAGGGCGCGUAGGCGGGCAUUCAAGUCCGUGGUGAAAUCCGGCAGCUUAACUGUCGAACUGCCGCGGAUACUGGGUGUCUCGAGGGAGGUAGGGGCGCGCGGAACUAUUGGUGGAGCGGUGAAAUGCGUUGAUAUCAAUAGGAACUCCGGUGGCGAAGGCGGCGCGCUGGACCUCUUCUGACGCUGAGGCGCGAAAGCCAGGGGAGCAAACGGGAUUAGAUACCCCGGUAGUCCUGGCCCUAAACGUUGGGUACUAGAUAGUAGCCUUCACAUGGGGUUACUGUCGAAGCAAAAGUGCUAAGUACCCCGCCUGGGGAGUAUGGUCGCAAGGCUGAA